This 403-nucleotide ribosomal RNA is filed under the name Verrucomicrobiota bacterium. Its description in RNAcentral is "Verrucomicrobia bacterium partial 16S ribosomal RNA". It matches the Rfam family "Bacterial small subunit ribosomal RNA", at positions 355 to 776 of the family's 1533-position model. Lineage: Bacteria; Pseudomonadati; Verrucomicrobiota. The record is from RNAcentral.
UGGGGAAUAUUGCACAAUGGGCGCAAGCCUGAUGCAGCAACGCCGCGUGAACGAUGAAGGUCUUCGGAUCGUAAAGUUCUGUUGCAUGGGAAGAUAAUGACGGUACCCUGUGAGGAAGCCCCGGCUAACUACGUGCCAGCAGCCGCGGUAAUACGUAGGGGGCUAGCGUUAUCCGGAUUUACUGGGCGUAAAGGGUGCGUAGGUGGUCUUUCAAGUCGGUGGUUAAAGGCUACGGCUCAACCGUAGUUAGCCUCCGAAACUGGAAGACUUGAGUGCAGAAGGGGAGAGUGGAAGUCCAUGUGUAGCGGUGAAAUGCGUAGAUAUAUGGAGGAACACCGGUGGCGAAAGCGGCUCUCUGGUCUGUAACUGACGCUGAGGCUCGAAAGCGUGGGGAGCGAACAGG